Glycine soja is the source of this 109-nucleotide non-coding RNA. The record is from Rfam. Lineage: Eukaryota; Viridiplantae; Streptophyta; Magnoliopsida; Fabales; Fabaceae.
GAGUGUCACGUCAUCACACCCAAUCAUUGACAUGUCACUAUCACAUCAUCACCUUCAAUGACGUGACGAUGACGUGUUAGUGAUUGGGUGUGAUGAUGUGACACUGUCU